GCCUGGCCACCUGCAGCGCUGUCCUACUUCUGCUACUCCCCGGUCCUGUGCGAGAUGGGUGCGCACCUCCUCCUGCUGCUGCUGCUGGGCCUCUCCUUGCUUUAGGGCUCCCUGCGAGCUCCAGCCACAUUGUGUAUGGUCUGCAAGAUUUUUAAGAAUGGCAAAUGUAUGGAAGGCAAUGGCAACUGCACCGUGGAGGAAGGCCGUGGAUGCAGAACCAGGGACCUCUACUUUUUCAAUGAGAGAGGUAAUGCUGUUGAGCCAGGCUCUACUGCCUUGAGCUGACACCUGACUUCGGACACUGUGCAGGGAGGUUCUCCAGUCUGAUGGAACCCUUGCUGGGAAGGAUGGAUGGAGCUACAACCACACUGAAUUGGACUGUUCUAAUCAGUGUAAGGCUUGGAAGUUGUUUCAUGGGGGCCUGAAGGUUUCAAGCUUUUGCUGUAAAGGUCAAGAUUUCUGCAAUAGGUUUCGAGGAAAAUCGCUGGAGUGGAAAUCUCACUAACUGCUAAUUCCUUUGUCAGUUGUGGUGUCCACUCACCUUCUCCUUCCCCUGGCACCUCUGGUCCUGUCACCCCCUACAUGUGCUCCGAAAGUGCAUGCAGCGUCCUCCUAUCUCCUCCAUGUUUCCUUCCGCAUAUCUCUCCUGGCCACUGGCUCCUUCCCCGUGACACCAAACACUCUGAGCUCACCCUUGUUUCAGGUCUCUGCUUCACACACAUCUGCAAAUUACCAUCAGCCCUCUUCACCUUGCAUUUCCUCGUGCCUUAAAAUCACCACAUAUCUCUGCCUGACUGGCUGCCUGGUUUCUAAUCGCACCAACUUGGAUGUGACUGCAAUGUGCCCAGAAAAGGAAUGGGUUCUAUUUUAUACAUCAGGAUUUUGAGUGGUCAGUGGAAAACUCAGGAAAAUGUGUUCAACUGGCGGAUGGACAACAAGGCUUCAAAGUCCAAGAAGGUUCCAAAGCCUGAGGCAAAAGAUAAGAUCAUUGGCUUUAUAUGCUACAUACAUACUCAGAAUCUCCUGGAAGCUUACGUUAUGAGACUUAAAGAGGUUGUCCAAUGAGAGAAGAUGGGAACAAGGGUAGAUGAAUCAUAAACACUACAGACCAUCAAAAUAAAAAGUGUGUGAAGGUCCUUCUACAAAAUGAUUCAUGGGUGAUGGUCACAGAAGUAGAUGGGGAGCCAGAUGGAAGGGCAUCAGUAUCUGUUUUCUGUGACAACUUGCAGGUUAUUGGCCGAGCAGGAUCAAUGAAGUGGCACAGAAGCCACAUUACUGUGGGUUGAGGAAUGAGUGGACUAUGACAGGAGGGAGUAGUGCGUAUGGGCAAGUCUUCCACGCAGUUAGGGAAAAAUUGAGAAAGUGGAAUAGUAUCUUUUGUAAGAAUAGUGAGUUUAAUACGUUUUUAGGCAAAGGAAGUUUUAUGUCUUCUCUUUAGUGUAAAAUACCUAUCUUAUUAUGACUAUAGUAAUAGCUGUCACCAUCAUCUCAUCUUUCUCAAUGUAUAUUUUUAAACUUUUAUCACCACUUCUAUAUGUAUUUUUUGUGUUCUUUUGACCCCUCUCUUUUCCCCUUUAUAUUACACUUCUUUUGUCCUUAUCUCCUCCAUUCUGUUUCCCUAACCAGUCAUGAUGCUAAAAUGGAGAAUAUUAUUAUCAUGUUAAAUUACUUAUUUAAUAUAAUCUUACAUUUCUCAUUUACAAAUUAAAAGAAAGUAAGAGGA
This is a long non-coding RNA of Hipposideros armiger (great roundleaf bat), 1723 nucleotides long. RefSeq lists it as uncharacterized. The record is from RefSeq and is a predicted model, not a curated record. The transcript has 3 exons. NCBI's taxonomy places the organism in Eukaryota, Metazoa, Chordata, Mammalia, Chiroptera, Hipposideridae.